GAUGAACGCUGGCGGCGUGCUUAACACAUGCAAGUCGAACGGAAAGGCUCCUGCUUGCAGGGGUACUCGAGUGGCGAACGGGUGAGUAACACGUGGGUGAUCUGCCCUGCACUUCGGGAUAAGCCUGGGAAACUGGGUCUAAUACCGGAUAGGACGAUGGUUUGGAUGCCAUUGUGGAAAGUUUUUUCGGUGUGGGAUGAGCUCGCGGCCUAUCAGCUUGUUGGUGGGGUAAUGGCCUACCAAGGCGUCGACGGGUAGCCGGCCUGAGAGGGUGUACGGCCACAUUGGGACUGAGAUACGGCCCAGACUCCUACGGGAGGCAGCAGUGGGGAAUAUUGCACAAUGGGCGCAAGCCUGAUGCAGCGACGCCGCGUGGGGGACGACGGCCUUCGGGUUGUAAACUCCUUUCGCUAGGGACGAAGCGCAAGUGACGGUACCUGGAGAAGAAGCACCGGCUAACUACGUG
RNAcentral lists this ribosomal RNA (466 nucleotides) under uncultured bacterium. Its description in RNAcentral is "partial 16S ribosomal RNA". It matches the Rfam family "Bacterial small subunit ribosomal RNA", at positions 28 to 507 of the family's 1533-position model. The record is from RNAcentral.